This 433-nucleotide ribosomal RNA is filed under the name uncultured bacterium. RNAcentral describes it as "partial 16S ribosomal RNA". It matches the Rfam family "Bacterial small subunit ribosomal RNA", at positions 28 to 507 of the family's 1533-position model. The record is from RNAcentral.
AACGAACGCUGGCGGCAUGCCUAACACAUGCAAGUCGAACGGGAACUUCCGGGCUAGUUGCGCACGUGUGCGUAACGAGUGGUGACCUGCCCUUAGGUGCGCUGUAAUUCCCCGAAAGGUGUGCUAAUACCGGAUAAUGUCUUCCGGGCAAGGAUUUAUCGUCUGUGGAUGGGCCCGCGUUGGAUUAGCUAGUGGGUAGGGUAAAAGCCUACCAAGGCGUCGGUCGAUAGCUGGUCUGAGAGGGUGAUCAGCGGCACUGGGACUGAGACACGGCCCAGACUGCUGCGGGAGGCAGGAGUGGUGAACACUGGGCAAUGGGCGGAGGCAUGAUCCCGCCAUGGCGCGUGAGUGAUGAAGGCCUGAGGGUUGUAAAGGUCUGGUACGCGGGGUGAUUAUGACGGUACCUGGAGAAGAAGCUCCGGCUAACUCCGUG